GAUCUCAGGAGAGCAAAGGAGCCAGGUCCACUGUUACAGGGACAAAGAUUUAAUUCAAAUUCUGAAGGCAUGGAUAUAACACAAUGGCAAGGAAAGUCUGAAAUCAGAGACUGGUGGCUUCUUCCUUCAUUCCAAGUGAAAAAGAAGAUUUUCUCAGUCCUGCUGAGAUUUCCCUGCAGCGUGCAAACAUUUGUGAAUUGUGGUCUCACAAAUCCUUCCAGUGUGGGGUUUUGUUUUUUCUCCAUUUCUUAAGGGUAUGUCUGCACUGCGUGUGUCUCUCAUGUACCAGAAAGGAUGGGAGCAAGCUUGUACAAUCAUCUGUGCUAGUUGAUGUAAUGUUAGGAGCAGUAGGCUUACCCAAGAAUGUCUCCAAAACUCCUUGAGUUAAAACCUUGGAGGUUGCUUGACAAGCUACAAUCUUUCCAUCAAUCUCUAGUCAUAUUAGUCUUUUGCAGCAAAAACACUGGACCCUUGUGGCACCUCAGUAAGUUAAUGAGUUAGAUGUCAUCUAGUUGGGCUGAGCUCCUGAUGAUUUCGUGGACAACUGCUCACCAUCUCAGCUUAUCUCCAGCAAUAAAUUGAGCUCUUCCAGUGACA
Molecule: non-coding RNA, 597 nt
Organism: Python bivittatus (Burmese python)
Lineage: Eukaryota; Metazoa; Chordata; Lepidosauria; Squamata; Pythonidae
Source: RefSeq, a predicted model, not a curated record